UUUCCGUAGGUGAACCUGCGGAAGGAUCAUUAUUGUAUAACCGAGGUGCGAGGGCUGUCGCUGACCCGAAAGGUCGUGCACGCCCGAGUGCCCUCACACACAUCCAUCUCACCCCUAUGUGCACCACCGCGUGGGUCCCCCUUUGGCUUGUUCGGAGGGGGGCUUACGUUUUCACACAAACUUUGUAUGCAGUGUAGAAUGUAUUUUUUGUUUUUGCGAUCACGCAAUCAAUACAACUUUCAACAACGGAUCUCUUGGCUCUCGCAUCAAUGAAGAACGCAGC
This 283-nucleotide unclassified non-coding RNA is filed under the name plant metagenome. Its description in RNAcentral is "partial contains small subunit ribosomal RNA, internal transcribed spacer 1, and 5.8S ribosomal RNA". The stretch from base 235 to 283 matches the Rfam family "5.8S ribosomal RNA", at positions 1 to 49 of the family's 154-position model. The record is from RNAcentral.